This is a ribosomal RNA of Erinaceus europaeus (western European hedgehog), 118 nucleotides long. Lineage: Eukaryota; Metazoa; Chordata; Mammalia; Eulipotyphla; Erinaceidae. The record is from Ensembl.
GUUUACGGCCAUCCCACCCUGAACACACCCAAUCUCGUCUGAUCUCAGAAGCUAAGCUGGGUUGGGCCUGGUUAGUACUUGGAUGGGAGAAAUUUAUUUAACCAAUCCACCCUGACCA